UCGCGGCGCAGAGCUUAGCUGAUUGGUGAACAGUGAUUGCUGGACUCUUUGUUCACAGUGGCUAAGUUCUGCGCCCGCA
RNAcentral lists this microRNA precursor (79 nucleotides) under Ornithorhynchus anatinus (platypus). Its description in RNAcentral is "mir-27 microRNA precursor family". It matches the Rfam family "mir-27 microRNA precursor family". The record is from Rfam by way of RNAcentral. Lineage: Eukaryota; Metazoa; Chordata; Mammalia; Monotremata; Ornithorhynchidae.